Molecule: small nucleolar RNA, 129 nt
Filed under: Dasypus novemcinctus (nine-banded armadillo)
Lineage: Eukaryota; Metazoa; Chordata; Mammalia; Cingulata; Dasypodidae
Description: Small nucleolar RNA SNORA31 (ENSDNOG00000040551.1)
Source: RNAcentral
AUCUAUUUAACAAACCUGAAGCAGUUGAAGUCUUCAUCUAAGGUUUCCACUACAGAUAAAAGAAAAAAAAAAGAUCCUCACACUUUUUAUCUGCCUGUGGCAGCCAAGGUUGAAUAGGGGAAUACAGGA